UCACAUGAGGCAAAAAAUUACCUUUGGCAUGAGGGUUAAGCGGGGGUCUCUGCCAAUGAGUUCGCCUCCUGCAUUGUGGAUUACCUUGAAGCUCACCCCACUUACAAUGAAUUCAUCCUUUGGAGUGAUGAGUGUGGUUAUCAAAACAGAAAUCUGAUCUUGAGCAAUGCCCUGUUAAAGUUUGCGACGGAGAGAAAAAACAAGUAACACAGAAGUACCUCGAAAGAAGUCACACACAAAUGGAAUGUGACUGUGCACAGUGUGAUUGAGAGGAAGCUGAGAAAUAGAGACAUACAUGUUCCAGCUGAGUAUGCUGCAGUCAUUCGAGGAGCACGUUCCAGUCCAAAACCGUACGAGGUGAAAUACGUUGGUCACAGCUUUUUUCAGAACUUCAGUGAACCUCUGCAAGUCAGUCCGACCUGGUAGCAAAGUUGGAGAUCCUACAGUGCAUCACCAUUGAGCAGUCAGAUACAGUGUGGAUGGCAGUAUGGAGUUUAAAUUAUUCCACUCCGACAACUGGCAACCCUUCACAUCCCCAUCCCUGAGGAAGACGUGCGUCAGCAUGGCCCCACUCUAUACAUCCCCCUAGAAAAUGAAAGCUCUCAAGUUCAGGCACCUUCAAGAAUUGAAACAUGUUUUACCCUU
Long non-coding RNA from Alosa sapidissima (American shad), 645 nucleotides. RefSeq lists it as uncharacterized. The record is from RefSeq and is a predicted model, not a curated record. Lineage: Eukaryota; Metazoa; Chordata; Actinopteri; Clupeiformes; Clupeidae. The transcript has 2 exons.